AUUGAACGCUGGCGGCAUGCCUUACACAUGCAAGUCGAACGGUAACAGGUCUUCGGAUGCUGACGAGUGGCGAACGGGUGAGUAAUACAUCGGAACGUGCCUAGUAGUGGGGGAUAACUACUCGAAAGAGUGGCUAAUACCGCAUGAGAUCUACGGAUGAAAGCAGGGGAUCGCAAGACCUUGUGCUACUAGAGCGGCCGAUGGCAGAUUAGGUAGUGGGUGGGAUAAAAGCUUACCAAGCCGACGAUCUGUAGCGGGUCUGAGAGGACGAUCAGCCACGCUGGGACUGAGACACGGCCCAGACUCCUACGGGAGGCAGCAGUGGGGAAUUUUGGACAAUGGGCGCAAGCCUGAUCCAGCAAUGCCGCGUGCAGGAUGAAGGCCUUCGGGUUGUAAACUGCUUUUGUACGGAACGAAAAGCCCCGGGUUAAUACCCUGGGGUCAUGACGGUACCGUAAGAAUAAGCACCGGCUAACUACGUGCCAGCCGCCGCAGUAA
RNAcentral lists this ribosomal RNA (498 nucleotides) under uncultured bacterium. RNAcentral describes it as "partial 16S ribosomal RNA". It matches the Rfam family "Bacterial small subunit ribosomal RNA", at positions 30 to 523 of the family's 1533-position model. The record is from RNAcentral.